CAGUCGCCGCGGGAAUACAGAGGGUGCGAGCGUUAAUCGGAUUUACUGGGCGUAAAGCGUGCGUAGGCGGCUAAUUGAGUCGGAUGUGAAAUCCCCGAGCUUAACUUGGGAAUUGCAUUCGAUACUGGUUAGCUAGAGUGUGGGAGAGGAUGGUAGAAUUCCAGGUGUAGCGGUGAAAUGCGUAGAGAUCUGGAGGAAUACCGAUGGCGAAGGCAGCCAUCUGGCCUAACACUGACGCUGAGGUACGAAAUCAUGGGGAGCAAACAGGAUUAGAUACCCCUGUAGUCCCUGUCUCUUAUAC
Molecule: ribosomal RNA, 301 nt
Filed under: uncultured bacterium
Lineage: Bacteria
Description: partial 16S ribosomal RNA
Rfam family: Bacterial small subunit ribosomal RNA
Source: RNAcentral